This 432-nucleotide ribosomal RNA is filed under the name uncultured bacterium. Its description in RNAcentral is "partial 16S ribosomal RNA". It matches the Rfam family "Bacterial small subunit ribosomal RNA", at positions 29 to 507 of the family's 1533-position model. The record is from RNAcentral.
AACGAACGCUGGUGGCAUGCCUAACACAUGCAAGUCGAACGAGACCUUCGGGUCUAGUGGCGCACGGGUGCGUAACGCGUGGGAACCUGCCCUUAGGUUCGGAAUAACUCCCCGAAAGGGGUGCUAAUACCGGAUAAUGUCUUCGGACCAAAGAUUUAUCGCCUUUGGAUGGGCCCGCGUUGGAUUAGCUAGUUGGUAGGGUAAAGCCUACCAAGGCGACGAUCCAUAGCUGGUCUGAGAGGAUGAUCAGCCACACUGGGACUGAGACACGGCCCAGACUCCUACGGGAGGCAGCAGUGGGGAAUAUUGGACAAUGGGCGAAAGCCUGAUCCAGCAAUGCCGCGUGAGUGAUGAAGGCCUUAGGGUUGUAAAGCUCUUUUACCCGGGAUGAUAAUGACAGUACCGGGAGAAUAAGCUCCGGCUAACUCCGUG